UUUUUAUUGGCCCCAUUAAAGGCAGUUGUCUGUGCAGGGAUUGAUUUCAGGGGAGCAGGCAGUUAAUUCAUUCUCCAAAUGCGAGUCUGUGUGUACAUAAAACCCAGCCUGUGUCUCUGCAGGCCCAGCCUGCCUCUCCCAGCCCCUCUCCUCACCCUCCUCCUGCCCCCAGGGAUGAAACGACACCUGUCUUUCAUUAAACACCUCUGGAACGAGCUGCUCAGCAGGCAGUGUGUAUUCAGCCACCAUCAAUAUUUCAUACAGCCCUAAUAGAUGUUAUCACAGAUCCUCCAUCCAGUGUUUAUUGUGCCAUAAUCAGUGAUCCAUCACACCAGGGCUGUCCGUCCCUCUGUGCCUGUCCCACCUCUCCCAGGAACACGGGUGAGGUGCCACAGUAAAUCUGAAUAAAUCCCUGGAGCUGUUUGUGACCUCAGGCACCCUCAGGCCCGUGAGAACGACACAAAUCUGCUUGCAAAAGGCGUUUUUUGUUUUUAUGAGAGCGUUUGGAGGCGAGCUGGCUCGGUGUAAAUCUGGGGCUUGGGGCCAUUAGGAAGCUGCAGAGGCUGGAGUUGUGGGGCUGUGUCUCCAAGUCUGGGGGUGUUGGUGUGAAACAGAAAACAUUUGCUGAUGUACAGGAGCCUGAAAUAAGCAGGCAAGCUUGGGGGCUGCUGACACUUGAAUAAAUCCCAGUGUCCUGGUAUUUGGUUAAACUCCAAUCUGAAUAUUUGUGUUUUUUUACAACAAUCCUUUGCCUCAGGGAGCAAUUUGCAGAGCUGAACAAUCCAGGACCUUUUUUCUUUCUUUUUUUUUUUUUUUUCUUUUCCAGCCUGGUGUUUGCAGCCUCCAGGAAACGCAAAGCCUUGAGAAGUCUGGAUCCUGCAAUCCUUCUGCCCCUGCAAAGAGCUCCCAGAUGCACAGAGUGUGCCCUGAGUGUGCCCCAGCUCCUGAAACUCCAGGGGAGCCAGAGCAUCCAUCCCAUGGCACAGCAGCUCCCUGGAGCAGGGAGUGGAGCCCCACAUUGUGCCUGGGGAGGGAAUGGAUGAUCCUCCCUCCCAGAAGGGAGCAGAGGAGCCUGGCUGCUCUCCAGCAGGGAGUCACAUUGGGUAGGUCUGACUAAAUCCUCGGGUAGACAUUUGCUUUGGACAAAAAACGGCUUUUUCCCCCUUCAGAGCAGCUAUUCCAGUUUGGCAAAGAUUGGAAAUGUCGUUUUAUUCUGCCUAAACAAAGCUGUUCCCCCAUGUGUGCCUGAGCCCCGGGAAGUCUCCCUGCAAGGACCUGCAGCUGUUGCUGUGACCUGGGCAGACCUGCAGGGACAUUGCACAGGCCCAGCCAGCCUCUCCUGGAUCCCAGAUCCUGAACAGCCUCUCCUGGAUCCCAGACCCUGAACAGCCUCUCCUGGAUCCCAGAUCCUGGAAAAUCCUCUCCUGGAUCCCAGAUCCUGAACAGCCUCUCCUGGAUCCCAGACCAUGGAGAAU
This 1475-nucleotide long non-coding RNA is filed under the name Cyanistes caeruleus (blue tit). RNAcentral describes it as "lncRNA (ENSCCEG00000015326.1)". Lineage: Eukaryota; Metazoa; Chordata; Aves; Passeriformes; Paridae. The record is from RNAcentral.